Molecule: ribosomal RNA, 301 nt
Filed under: uncultured bacterium
Lineage: Bacteria
Description: partial 16S ribosomal RNA
Rfam family: Bacterial small subunit ribosomal RNA
Source: RNAcentral
CAGUAGCCGCGGUAAUACGGAGGGUGCAAGCGUUAAUCGGAAUUACUGGGCGUAAAGCGCACGCAGGCGGUUUGUUAAGUCAGAUGUGAAAUCCCCGAGCUUAACUUGGGAACUGCAUUUGAAACUGGCAAGCUAGAGUCUUGUAGAGGGGGGUAGAAUUCCAGGUGUAGCGGUGAAAUGCGUAGAGAUCUGGAGGAAUACCGGUGGCGAAGGCGGCCCCCUGGACAAAGACUGACGCUCAGGUGCGAAAGCGUGGGGAGCAAACAGGAUUAGAUACCCCGGUAGUCCCUGUCUCUUAUAC